Molecule: non-coding RNA, 207 nt
Organism: Paramuricea clavata
Lineage: Eukaryota; Metazoa; Cnidaria; Anthozoa; Malacalcyonacea; Plexauridae
Source: the annotation of a GenBank genome assembly
CCGGUUCUGAGGGAAUACUGAUGCUGAUUGUAUCGGACGUUUUCUGCCAAGAAAGUCCAAGUAAGCUGGAUUCCUCUCCUUGCGCAGUACCAAGUUGUCGUUUGGCAUACGUAACAUCCUCAACGGAACUCAUAACUGGCUCUUCUAACGCUGGCUCGUUGGAAUGCCACUUGUGUAAGGUGAACGUUGCGUCUUGGAAUAUCUCGG